CCUACGGGUGGCAGCAGUGGGGAAUAUUGGGCAAUGGGCGCAAGCCUGACCCAGCAACGCCGCGUGAAGGAAGAAGGCUUUCGGGUUGUAAACUUCUUUUCUCAGGGACGAAGCAAGUGACGGUACCUGAGGAAUAAGCCACGGCUAACUACGUGCCAGCAGCCGCGGUAAUACGUAGGUGGCAAGCGUUAUCCGGAUUUACUGGGUGUAAAGGGCGUGUAGGCGGGACGUCAAGUCAGAUGUGAAAACCCCGGGCUCAACCCGGGGCCCUCCUUGGAAACGGUAGUUCUUGAGUACUGGAGAGGCAGCCUGAAUUCCUAGUGUAGCGGUGAAAUGCGUAGAUAUUAGGAGG
RNAcentral lists this ribosomal RNA (352 nucleotides) under uncultured bacterium. Its description in RNAcentral is "partial 16S ribosomal RNA". It matches the Rfam family "Bacterial small subunit ribosomal RNA", at positions 338 to 704 of the family's 1533-position model. The record is from RNAcentral.